Molecule: ribosomal RNA, 460 nt
Filed under: uncultured bacterium
Lineage: Bacteria
Description: partial 16S ribosomal RNA
Rfam family: Bacterial small subunit ribosomal RNA
Source: RNAcentral
CCUACGAGUGUCAGCAGUGAGGAAUAUUGGUCAAUGGGCGCGAGCCUGAACCAGCCAAGUAGCGUGAAGGAUGACUGCCCUACGUGUUGUAAACUUCUUUUAUAAAGGAAUAAAGUGAGGCACGUGUGCCUUUUUGUAUGUACUUUAUGAAUAAGGAUCGGCUAACUCCGUGCCAGCAGCCGCGGUAAUACGGAGGAUCCGAGCGUUAUCCGGAUUUAUUGGGUUUAAAGGGAGCGUAGAUGGGUUGUUAAGUCAGUUGUGAAAGUUUGCGGAUCAACCGUAAAAUUGCAAUUGAUACUGGCAGUCUUGAGUACAGUUGAGGUAGGCGGAAUUCGUGGUGUAGCGGUGAAAUGAUUAGAUAUCACGAAGAACUCCGAUUGCGAAGGCAGCUUACUAAACUGCCACUGACAUUGAUGCUCGAAAGUGUGGGUAUCAAACAGGAUUAGAUACCCCAGUAGUA